GCCACAUCGGGGCGGAGCAGCCAGCGGCCGACGGCAGAGAAAAACGGCGGUGGCCGGAAGAAGAAGAAAACAACAGGUAAGCGUGUUUGCUGGUUUUGGACAAGGUACACCUCCUCUGCCAGGGCCUUUAUUUGUCCCGUCUUCGCGUUUCGGUGAUUGUACACUAGCUGUUAUAAUUGGCUUUGAUGUCCAGCGUUUUUCCGUUCCAUUUGUUGAUCAUGCUGGGAGCCUUCUGCUACACGCAGCGGCAGGCAGGCUAAGGAGGUCCGGCCUCAUCUUCUCCGUCAGAGAGGUUUCGGUAAGUCUCCUGAUUCUUGUGGCUCCCUCUCCCCUGUAGGCACAUAGAAAAGCAACAGCAAUGGGGCGUGGACAGGAGCAGCGGCACAUAAAAAAGCACUAGCAACGGGGAGAGCAUGGGGAGCAGCGGCACAUAAAAAAGCACUAGCAACGGGGAGAGCAUGGGGAGCAGCGGCAGAGGAAUAUUCUUGAUGUGGAGAUGCACCGCCUUGUGGUGUUCAUCAUCUGAUAUCUGAUGAACACAGAAGAGUUGGCUUCCAGAAUUAUGAAAGAGCAGGUCGCUGCAGAUGUUGUGUGAGGACAUGUUGAAGCCAGCCUCUGGCCCAUGGCAGUGCGGCGCUAGAUCCUUAGGUCUUGCUGCCGUUCAUAUGCUUAUGCGUGGACGCAAAGCGCGUACCCGUCGGUGGGGUGUGCUGCCCACUUCCUCGCCUCCAGCGUCCGCCAGCACCACCGCGCUCUUGGAAAUGUGGGCGCGCAUUCUCCAUCGCUGCAUUGGAGCCGUGGUCUUGGGGAUGUACAUGGUGUCUUGCUCAUGUAUGCAGCAGGAGCAGCAAGCCUAUGGGUCUUGUGUGUCGAAGACAGGGUAAUUCUUUGGUUCUUGGGCAGCGAAGUCAUAUUGGUUCUGUUCAGUAUGUUGUUACUGCCCGUGAUGUUGAUGCACAACUUGGUCUUUGGGAAUUAGGUGAUGAAUGGCAAUUUACUCUGUCUCGGAAGGCGCCUCCAGUUCCUCAAUGGCGUCCCCUGCUAUCCAGGGCCAUGUGCACUUAGUCAGUGAUCUGACGUGGCCACGCGCCCCCCUGGUCGUUCCAGGUGCCGGAACUUUGCACCGUAGGAUGUGGGAACAGUUAUUGGACCCAGUCGCAUCUAUUAUUUUCUCCAUAAUGUUUGCUGACAGAGGAUUAUGGGAUGCUGAUUAAGCCGAGUUACAAACUAUAUCUGAAACCAGCAAGUUCAGAUCAGCCAUAUCUGUGGAAUUGAUUCAUUUAGUGGAAGGUCUCAGCCGCUCAGUCGUCUUUGGACAGAGAAUGAAAAAAUUACGCAAGGAAAAGACGAGCAAACUCAGCACAAAUUCCAGUAAAUAUGCAGAAUUAAGGGAUGAGAUAGGUACAAGUGAACAAAAAACCUGUCGGUUUCUCUUCCUCACUCCACACAGACACAGCGGGUGGACCUGCGGCCAUGGAGUCUAGAGAGGCCGCGGCGGCUCCAUUGACCCUGCCGUCGCCUUCGCUGGACAGCCAUAGGACGAACAUGCAUCCAGCUCUGGUUCCGGCUCCGCUUCGGGUUCCCCAAGAUGGCGAAUCCAGCUGCGAUUCCGGAGCUUCACUGCUGCCGGCAGGUGUGCGUCUCCCUUCGUCCGAACGAUGGUGGUGGGACGGACCCUUAGCUUCGCAGCUCCGCUAUGCGUGACCGCUUUUCCCCAUGCAACGGCUGCAGGGUGGCCAAGGGCACACGGACUGUGAGCGUACGGUGCGAGCAGCGGCAGGAAGACAUACUGGUGGCGACGAAUCAGUGGUGCAAGCCACAAGAAUCACUGCAGUAUGCUCGCUUUCGUCGAUUGAUGCUCCGGCGGCCGGAAUUGAGGAGGACAUGCGGUGGCUCUAGCUUCACGGGAAAGAGAGUAGAAGGGGAUCGUAUAGUAGGUGCGACAGUGCUGAGAAAGGGAUUAAAGUGAAAAAGAUCAGGACUGCUUUUCACGUGCGUCCAUAUUGUCCUCUUCGUGCCUGUGCAUGAGAGAAACGGAUCAGGACUUCGCCCGUCUACCCUGUGUACAUGACUAUUAUUAAAUCUAUUUCAUAAAUAUUUGCAACA
Molecule: long non-coding RNA, 2106 nt
Organism: Lolium rigidum
Lineage: Eukaryota; Viridiplantae; Streptophyta; Magnoliopsida; Poales; Poaceae
Exons: 5
Source: RefSeq, a predicted model, not a curated record